AGCGAACGUUAGCGGCGCGCCUAACACAUGCAAGUCGCACGAGAAAGGGAGCAAUCCCCGGUACAGUGGCGCACGGGUGAGUAACACGUAGAUGACCUUCCCUGGAGUGGUGGAUAACCUGCCGAAAGGCGGGCUAAUACAGCAUGGGACCACAUGGUUUUGACCGAGUGGUGAAAGCGGGCCUCUGUUCACAAGCUCGCGCUCUGGGAUGGGUCUGCGUCCCAUCAGCUAGUUGGUGAGGUAAUGGCUCACCAAGGCAUUGACGGGUAGCUGGUCUGAGAGGAUGACCAGCCACACUGGAACUGAGACACGGUCCAGACUCCUACGGGAGGCAGCAGUGGGGAAUCUUGCGCAAUGGGCGAAAGCCUGACGCAGCGACGCCGCGUGGGUGAUGAAGGCCUCGGUUGUAAG
RNAcentral lists this ribosomal RNA (411 nucleotides) under uncultured bacterium. Its description in RNAcentral is "bacterial SSU rRNA". It matches the Rfam family "Bacterial small subunit ribosomal RNA", at positions 29 to 429 of the family's 1533-position model. The record is from RNAcentral.